Molecule: long non-coding RNA, 2034 nt
Organism: Helianthus annuus (common sunflower)
Lineage: Eukaryota; Viridiplantae; Streptophyta; Magnoliopsida; Asterales; Asteraceae
Exons: 5
Source: RefSeq, a predicted model, not a curated record
UUACAUUUUUCGGUACUAAAUUCCAGUUUCCUCUCCGUCUCCAUUCCAAACCCUAAUUGCAAAACACUAAUCUCCCCAAAACUUCCAGUAGUUGCAGUUUUCAUCUUUCAAAUUCAUGAUUCCAAGAACCAAAUCUUUUAAUUUCUUCUCGAUUCUGCCCAUUCUCCAUUUUUCUAGAAACCCACUACACGCGAGAGAAAGAGGGGGCUUGAAGGAACAGGAUCUGGUGGCCGCUAAUGACGACGAUGAUGGUGGAUUCACGGUAAUAGUGAGGGUUUACAACUGAGACACAGACAUCGACCACCUGAUGUAGGGUUCGUGAAGGACUGGUUGUCUUGUAAGAGUUCCGGUAAGCUCCCUGCAGAAACGACCGACAGUGGUGAUAGGUUUUGCUAAACUGAUAUUACAUGUUUGCUGGUUGGUUAUUGGAUUCUUGGUUAGAGGAAUAUAUGCACUUUAUGCUUAGUUUAAUUAAAGAUAUAGAUGGUAAAGAUAGGUUUUGCUAAAUUCUAAAGGGCUAGCCAAUUUACACUUGACGGAAAUCUUGUUAGUCUGAUGUUCAAGUUAUGUUUCGACAAAUAUAAAAGAGUGACAAUCAUGUUAUGUUUAGUCUUAGUCUCUGAAAUUUAGUUUCCCACAAAAAUUAUUUUCCCUCAAAUGUGUUUCUAGUCUUAGUCUCUCAGAAAUUGUUAGUUCAUUAUCGGUGGUCUCUGUUCAUCGCCUUGGAAUCACCAGUUAUGAAGAUCUGCAGAUAUCCAAACAAACCAAGCUUCAUGUUCUCAUUUUUAAAUUAAGCAAUCCUACUUCACAAUAGUCAGUUGUUGAAGGUAUAGUUUAUGCCUUGAUUUGAUUGAAGUUUCCUGCAUUCUAAUUUGCUAAUUUGUUAACUUUUCUUGUUUAUUCUGAUAAUUUGCCCAAAUUAUUGUGAUAAUUUGGAUAUUUUCACUUUAAAUUUAUUUAUUUAAUUCCUGGAGUGCAUAUCCUUGUGUUACAAAGGUUUUAUGUGAUGUGUAUGAAUUCAAUUGCACCAUUGUUGAGUUAACCUAUGUAAUUAACUUUCGUCAUAUCAUGCAUUCUUUUAUGUCCAUCUUCGUUCUUUUUUUUUCUUUAGAGAUUCUGAACAUCAACAUUAAAUGAUUAUUUUAUAUUACAACAUGCUUAAAUUAUGGAUUAGUGUGUUUUGUGCAACGAUGCCCAAAUUUGUGAUGCGCCAAACUGUUAAUGCCAAGACAAGCAAACAUUAGGUUUUCAUAUACUCUGACAAUCACCUUUCCUGGUUGAUUCGGAAUGAGGAUUUGAUUAUGCUAGUUUUGUUACCUGGGACAAAUCUAUAAUUUACUUUGCAGCUCUUCUAAAGCUGUAUACGAAGGGUAGCUCACGAACGUGAAAUGGCAUGGCCUAUAGAUGAACUUUUAGUCAAUGAAAGGUUCUACAUAUAUGUGAAGUCAAAUGAGCAAACAACAGCUGCUGCCUUUGUUCCAUCCUCUGUCCCCCCACUACACUACUGUGUGUGACAAUAGUGCCAUCACACUGCGACCUGCAGUUGUCACACAUCGGCCUACCUUUGUUGCCCGUCUCCUCAUUGCUGAGUAAUCCACUUUAAUUUGUCGGAGAUGAAGUUUUCCUCAAAAGCAUUCUAAACUCUAUUGAGACCGUAGCAAGAGGAAGGGUCCAGAGCUUGGACCCAAAUGAUCUAGUUGGUGGUACAGAGAUUGGACCAGAAUGGUGUGAGGUAAACGUUCAAGUACCAAUAAAAAAGAUGAAAACUUGGUAAGAUCAUAUGGUUUAUUUUCUACAAUUCAAGAUUGUAUUGGUGCAUCCAUCGCAUGGCCCUAUCCAUUCAUCUCGGUAGUCCAUGAGGAUUGAGGACGCAUGAUGACUCAAGAUUUUAUGCUUCUUAUUCUUUAAUUGCUUUGAAUUUCAUUGUUAAAUGUUAAGACUUUAUGUUAGAUAAUAUUAUUACUUAUUUAUGGUUAGUGUUUUUGUUAUGAACAUGCAUAUUUGAAAUAUAAUGAAGUUUUAUUUCUUUCAUUA